Molecule: ribosomal RNA, 501 nt
Filed under: uncultured bacterium
Lineage: Bacteria
Description: partial 16S ribosomal RNA
Rfam family: Bacterial small subunit ribosomal RNA
Source: RNAcentral
AUUGAACGCUGGCGGCAGGCUUAACACAUGCAAGUCGAGCGGGGAAGGGUAGCUUGCUACCUAACCUAGCGGCGGACGGGUGAGUAAUGCUUAGGAAUCUGCCAUUUAGUGGGGGACAACAUUCCGAAAGGAAUGCUAAUACCGCAUACGUCCUAGGAGAGAAAGCAGGGGAUCUUCGGACCUUGCGCUAAAUGAUGAGCCUAAGUCGGAUUAGCUAGUUGGUGGGGUAAAGGCCUACCAAGGCGACGAUCUGUAGCGGGUCUGAGAGGAUGAUCCGCCACACUGGGACUGAGACACGGCCCAGACUCCUACGGGAGGCGGCAGUGGGGAAUAUUGGACAAUGGGCGGAAGCCUGAUCCAGCCAUGCCGCGUGUGUGAAGAAGGCCUUAUGGUUGUAAAGCACUUUAAGCGAGGAGGAGGCUACUUAGAUUAAUACUCUAGGAUAGUGGACGUUACUCGCAGAAUAAGCACCGGCUAACUCUGUGCCAGCAGCCGCCGUAA